GGAGUUAGCCGGUGCUUCUUCUGUGAGUGAUGUCCUUCCUGCCGGCUAUUAACCCGCAGGCCUUCUUCCUCACUGAAAGUGCUUUACAACCCGAAGGCCUUCUUCACACACGCGGCAUGGCUGGAUCAGGGUUGCCCCCAUUGUCCAAUAUUCCCCACUGCUGCCUCCCGUAGGAGUCUGGGCCGUGUCUCAGUCCCAGUGUGGCUGAUCAUCCUCUCAGACCAGCUACGGAUCGUCGCCUUGGUGAGCCGUUACCUCACCAACCAGCUAAUCCGACAUAGGCUCAUCCGAUAGCGCGAGGCCCGAAGGUCCCCCGCUUUCCCCCGUAGGGCGUAUGCGGUAUUAGCCUGGGUUUCCCCCAGGUUAUCCCCCACUACCGGGCAGAUUCCUAUGCAUUACUCACCCGUCCGCCGCUCGCCACCAGGGAGCAAGCUCCCCGUGCUGCCGCUCGACUUGCAUGUGUAGCGUCGCCGCCACGCGUUCAUACUACGAACCAAGAUACAACUUACUGA
This 512-nucleotide ribosomal RNA is filed under the name uncultured bacterium. RNAcentral describes it as "partial 16S ribosomal RNA". The record is from RNAcentral.